UUUAAGGUUUCCAAAAUGUUUUCCUCACAAUAUCCUUAGGAUGUAAUUCAUUUAUUCUCAAUUUUUUUCAGGUGAAGAAAUUCUAUAGUGAGUUGACCAGAGAGAUAAUACUGUUAGCAAGUUUUGGAGUCAUCAUUCAGUACCAGCUGGCAACCACUCUAGUCCAGGGACCUAUAAGACAGGAAGAGAGAGCAAGAGAGCAGUCUCUGACAGAGUUCAGCUACAGAGAGAGAGUGGGGGAGGAACAAGAAGAAAAAACUGAAAUUUCCAGGAGAGAACCAGAAGCUUGGAGAAGUCCCACCAGCCACUCUCUCACUUCCAGCUUGGAGCCAGAGGGAAGAGGUAGAUCUCCUAGGCUGGGAAGAAGCCUGUCUCUCUCUGGAGAUCAACUGCCUCUUUCUGAAUCUCUGGAUGCCUCUCACUCAACUCUCAAUAACAGCAAUCAAGGCCAUCAAUGGAUAUUGUGGACUGGGACUUUGAAGAAAGCUGUCCAUAGAGAUCCCUUUCAAAGAUCUCACUCUCCAUAUCUCUCUCCCUAUCUAUGCCUGGACUCCUGUAUUUAAGUAAUUAGCUCAGGAAUAGGGACCAACAGGCAGCUGGUAAAAAGAGGGAUUAAAGCUGAGAAGCCUUGAACUUCUAGUCUUUAGAGGACCAAUUUGCCAGAGGGGACAAAUUGCAGGGCUCACUAUUCACCCAGUUCCCUACUUGAUACCUUACCACACCUUCCCUGCUUGAACCCAAAUAAAUCAUCUAUUACUUUAGAUUUAGAUCUAGGC
This 776-nucleotide long non-coding RNA is filed under the name Monodelphis domestica (gray short-tailed opossum). Its description in RNAcentral is "lncRNA (ENSMODG00000036755.1)". The record is from RNAcentral. Lineage: Eukaryota; Metazoa; Chordata; Mammalia; Didelphimorphia; Didelphidae.